This is a non-coding RNA of Paramuricea clavata, 644 nucleotides long. Lineage: Eukaryota; Metazoa; Cnidaria; Anthozoa; Malacalcyonacea; Plexauridae. The record is from the annotation of a GenBank genome assembly.
UGACAUACCAGAAUAUAAUUUACAAUCUCUAUAAAGUUUAAUACGGUUGUAAACAAAUGUAAUUUAUUAAAUUGUCUGAUUUUGCCAAAAUAUUCGUUCUUUCAGAAUGCAAGUGAGUCACAAAGUACGGGUAGGACAUUAAUCACGUCUCCAGCUGACAAUUGCCAGGUUCGUAUGUGUAUUAAUUAAAUACUAAAUUGUCAAUUUAGUUUUACUUUUAGGAUUUUUAUUUCAGUCUGACAGUACAACCAACGUGCAUUACAAACUUACACAAAAAAUCAUUCACUUCUAUUUUCAUUAGGAAACUGUCAAUGUGUCAAACGUGGAAACGGAACGUCAAAUCCAAAUGGGAAAUUUGCUUUCACUGAUUGAAAAAGAAUUGUUGGACGUCGCGAGAAGGGAAAAUAAAUCAGUCCUAAGAGAGAAAGAUUACCCUGCUUUGAGUUCGCUUAAUUUUCAUGACAUUGUAGAAGAGAUGAAAAAUCGUUGUCCAACUGUGUUUCAGAUCUUAUCCAACAUGGUUCAAUACCAUAUUAACAGAGAGAAGAAUAUUGUCUCUCUGGGGCUUAUAUAUGCAGUUAUUAUGUUCCGCAGAUGUCACGAGUUGAGUCGUGUACAGAGAGUUAACACCGUACUUCUAACAG